AGGACGAACGCUGGCGGCGUGCUUAACACAUGCAAGUCGAGCGGAAAGGCCCUUCGGGGUACUCGAGCGGCGAACGGGUGAGUAACACGUGAGUAAUCUGCCCCUAGCUCUGGGAUAGCUCCGGGAAACCGGGAUUAAUACCAGAUACGACCACUUUAGACAUCUUCUGUGGUGGAAAGAACUUCGGCUAGGGAUGAACUCGCGGCCUAUCAGCUUGUUGGUGAGGUAACGGCUCACCAAGGCGACGACGGGUAGCCGGCCUGAGAGGGCGACCGGCCACACUGGGACUGAGACACGGCCCAGACUCCUACGGGAGGCAGCAGUGGGGAAUAUUGCGCAAUGGGCGAAAGCCUGACGCAGCGACGCCGCGUGGGGGAUGAAGGCCUUCGGGUUGUAAACCCCUUCAGCAGGGACGAAGCGAAAGUGGACGGUACCUGCAGAAGAAGCGCCGGCUAACUACGCGCCAGCAGCCGC
RNAcentral lists this ribosomal RNA (474 nucleotides) under uncultured bacterium. Its description in RNAcentral is "SSU rRNA". It matches the Rfam family "Bacterial small subunit ribosomal RNA", at positions 26 to 518 of the family's 1533-position model. The record is from RNAcentral.